This 241-nucleotide non-coding RNA is filed under the name Peptoniphilus sp. Its description in RNAcentral is "T-box sequence". It matches the Rfam family "T-box leader". Rfam says of the family: Uncharged tRNA acts as the effector for transcription antitermination of genes in the T-box leader family. T-boxes are found upstream of many aminoacyl-tRNA synthetase genes and some amino acid biosynthetic genes usually in Gram-positive bacteria. The record is from RNAcentral. Lineage: Bacteria; Bacillati; Bacillota; Tissierellia; Tissierellales; Peptoniphilaceae.
ACAAAAGCGUUGAAGAGAAGAGUAGAAUUCAAAACGAUUUUUUAGAGAGCAUUAGGUUGGUGUAAUUAAUGUAAAUUGUUGGAUUUGAAAGAAAGGCUCUGAGUUUUUUGAAGGAUAGUUUGAUUUCAAAACGUGAGUGACCUACGUUACAGGGCAGAGGUAUGAUAGUACCUUGCGAGGCAUAUAUUGUGAAGUAUAUGUGAAUAUGGGUGGUAACACGGAUUUUACUUUCGUCCCAAGG